GGCAAAACGUCCGCCCGGGCCCGAGGCGGGCGGAGGCAGCUGUGGUUACGUGCGGGGGGCCGGUGACGCAGUCGCGGGGCGCUGGGACGCGGCUUGCGGAGCCGGCCGGCGAGCGCAGGCCCCAGGCUCGGGCGCGGCGGCGGGACAGCACCUACCUUCCCGGCUUCGGGUCCGGGAGUGCGGGGCGCGGAGCCGCCGGAGCGCUGCCUCCCUCCUUCCUCCUCCCCUCGCCCCCGCCCCGCGGCGCGACACACAAUACUCGCCGGAAGCGGAAGCCGCGCCGAGGCUCGUGUCAGUGGAAGCUGGGGUGUCGGCGGGCGGCCGCGGCCGGGUCUAGUGGUGCCUGCGGAAGAAGGAGGAGGAGGGCUGGCGAUGAGAAGCAGCAGGGGGAAUCAAGGGCAAGAAGGGACCCAGAGGGGCAGGUGGCUGAGAUGCUGGCGUCCAGGUGACCCGAGGAAUCCUCUGGAGAUACAGGCCCGCGCAUGCGCGUGCUCGAGCGCUGAAGCCCAUUGCCCGCAGGGCGCUGGACUGGCGCCCCGGCCGGCGAGGCUGUCUAGUCCAGGCUCCAGGCCCCGGCUCUGGCCAGGCGCCGCCGCCUCCCGGUGCAGCUGAAAGUCGACGAAGAGGGCGGGGCGGGGGCGGCUUGUGGACUUCCACACUUUUCCUCUCUUCGGGCCAGUCUGGGGAGAGGGUGGCUAGCUGUGGCGGCGGCCAAUUACGUGGCGGACCUGCGGGGCUAAGCUGGCACGUCACUUCCGACUAGUGGAGUUUUUAGCCUUUUAACAUUCAAGGAUUAGAGCUCCCUCUUUGCCCACUAGCAGGGCAUUAGCUGGUGCUGAAGACAGUGGCUGCUUGGCGAGCCUGGAUCUCCAAGUGACCCCCUCAGCAACUCCUGAUGAACAGGACUGAAGCCAAUAUUAAAGCAAGUCAACCAAAGGUUCUCUGGUGUAGACAAGACAGCAAAAGGACAGACUACCUUGUGGAACCUAGCAUUGUUCUCCUUCUGCAGCACUAAGUAACAUUUGUUCUCCGUUAAGAUCUUUGCAAACCACACACAAGAAUUGCUGGUCAUCCUGCCAAUAGAUGCUGCUCACAGAACCAAAUUUCCUGUGCUGAAUUGUCACUCAUGGGCUUGAGAGUAGGAGACUGGAGACCAAGGUGGCUAGAAUCCAGUUGGGCCUGAUGUCUCCCUGUUGAAAGGGCUCCUUGUGGAAUGAAUAGCACAUGGCUCCUGUGGUGGAUCUGAUAGUGGCAUAGCACCAAGUGAUGCAGGCCUGCCAGGGGCCACAGACACAGAAGAUGCUCCCGGGGUCCCCCAUGUACUCCAGACACACUGCAGGCCACCUCUCCCAGCAGGUUGCCAGUCAUGGGCCCCAUCAUCAUGACUUCUGUCCAAGGUGUGCUCGGAAAUCUCUUCCUUAACUGUGACUUUCUGACAGGUGGAGGAUGUGGUCAGGAGUGGGAAAAGGAUUCGAGACGGGAAGAGGGAGGGGUUCAGGAUGAAGAGAGAUAAUCUGUGCCACAGAUGCUGGCCCUGCAGUUAGCUCCCACCUAGUCCGUGCACACACAUUCUAAUCCCCUCCCAUUCCUUUACAUGCUGCGGCCAGAGAGGCCUUUCUCAAAGUGGAAGUCUCAUCCUCACUUCUCUGGUUACAGUGCUGGGCCAUGGUAACUUACAAGGCUUAGCAGGAACUGUCUGCGCACUCCCCCUUCCUGCCCACUACCUUGUUUCCCUCCAGUUGCGAGAGAAAACAUUGAUUGAGCAUUAACUAUGUGCCAGGCUUGUCCUAAGUCCUUUGCAUGUAUUCACUCAAACAAUCCUCACAACAUUCCUAUCACAUCUCCCAUUUCACAGUGAGGGUUCUAAAGCACGUAGUGGGUGAGGAACUUGUCCAGGGUCACACAACUAAGUGGGGGUGGAGAAACAUCAAAUCUAGGUGGUCCAGGUGGUGGCCAGAACCCAUCAGCACCUCACUACAGCUGCCUCCAGUUUCUCGCUCUAGGAAAUACUCUUCCCUGUCAACUCCUGUUGUCCUCUGGGCUCAGUUGACAUGUCAUCUCCUUGAGGAGGACAUCCUGAGAUGCUCCCCGACUAGGGUGGGCACCCACUUCCACACUCCAAAUGCCUAUUUGACCUGUGUAUCGCUGCAUCCCCACUGCCUGGCAGAUAGCAGGCCCCUAAUAAAUAUGAUUUGAGCAAAUAAAUAUAGUUCUUCAAAAAAUAGGGAGGACUUCUUGCUUCAGGUAAUGGUAGGCUAGGACAUUUGGACCAACCCUCCUGCAGAAAAUAGCCAUUUAUUUUGAUGCAAUAUAUCUGGCUAUGACUAGAGAUUUCAAAUAUUUGGAGGGCUAUUAUGUGAAGAACUAAACUUACUCUUUGUGACAUAGAGGUCAGAAAUUGGUCGUUUCCAUAGAGUAUGAGAGAGACAGAAUUGUGCUCAUCAUAAGUAUCUUUUUUAAAAGUUAGACUUAAUAAAAUGGGCUGCCUUGGUAGGUGGUGAGUUCUCUGUCACGAAAGAGAUUCAGCCACUUGCUCUGAGAAAGCAUGGAGAAUAUCAACAUUGUAAGGGUCGACCACCUCAUCUCUGAGGCCCCCUCCUCACUUAGGUUGCCAUUGCAGGUGGAACACUGGGCUGAGUGUCAAAGAACCUGGGUUCCACAAGCUGUGCGACCAUGGCUGGUUGUUUUGGAUCUCAUUCCUAAUAUCUGUUAGUUAAGCUGACCCGUCAAUACUGACCCACUUCACAGAGUUAUGAAGGGAUUAAAUUAGGUAUUACAUGUAAAUCUGUUUUGUUUGCUUUUUGUUGUUCUUUUUUGUUUUGCUUUUUUCUUUGCAUUAUGAAAUCCCAAGUCAACUUUUUCCAUUCUUUUAUUUUUUUAAAAAUUGACAUCAUCAUUAUAACCACAAAAUAAUUUUUAAAAUGGAAAAAAAAAACUCACCUGCAACCCCACAAUCUAAUACAAUAAUCAUACUUUUUUCCCUUUAUUCUCCUUUAUUGUGACCAAGGAUGACUUUGGGCAUUGCUGUGAGGAACUAUUUCGUUUAACACCCUACUACCUGAACAUGAUGCGUACUCAGCCUUUCACCACCCCCCAAGUAGCUACACAUGAUGUGAUAAUAGUAUUGGUGGUGGUUUUAGAGAGUUGGAGAGAAAACUGAAGUUGGAUUUGGGUAAAAGAAAAAAGAGUGGGAAUUAUUUUUUCUCCAUUCUAAAGCCCAUAAAGCAAUGUUAAUUGUUCCCACCCCUCUGCUAUUCUGUCUCCUCAGGUACUGUGUGCAGAAAUGUGAUUGAGAUUCAAGUCAGGGCCUCUCUGCCCUUUUCCCUCCAGAAACAAAACCAAGAUAAUUUAUCCUGAACACGGUGAAAAAAGGAAGGGAGGGAGGAGAAAAAGUCCGGGUCUCACCUGGGAUUCUCUGUCUCCUGCAACAUGAAGGAUUUAGCCUGGGAGGAGGUGGUGAGAACUCUGGGAGAGAAAAAAGAAGGAAAGAAUAGUUUUACCCAUGCUGAAGUUAAUUUAAACCUUCACCUAGAGAAGCAAAAAAAAAAAACCCACACUUUCCCAUUUUGUGCCUCCCUUCCUAGAGUUUUAGCCAAAGGUUUAGCUAAGUAAUUGGUUUUACCAGCGCACUCACUCCUCCUAUCCCAAGUCUGUUUGACUCCCUCCCCAUCAUCCUCCUCACCUCUUUUCAGGCAGGGUGGGGAUAGCAGCAGGAGGAGAUUUUGGGAGCCUGGCAACUCCUGCAAGGACCGCAGGACAGCCCCUCUGUGGGGAUGCGUGGUGCCCCAUCUGCCGCCCUUCUGAAGAAUGCACUGCCUUCACUUUUUACUGUGUUAGAGUCCAUCCAGACUGUUCUAUCCAAAAAAGUUUCUUUUUCCCCCACAGGCAAUCAGGAAAUGAUUCCUUUCCCGACUGCUUCUGUCUAGUGCCUGGGAAUCUUGAGUCAAUCCCUCAGUAAGUCAGUGACUAGGGAAAUCCCUCUCUGAGCCUCCCAGUUCAUGUUGCUUAGGGAACCUGAUAUUUUCGUGAAACCUGCCUACACAUGGGCAGCCCAACAGCAGAACAAAUGGUGGUGACCAAAGUGAACAAAGAAGUAUAGUUGUGCCAGCUUCGUAGUUGCCCAUGUGGACAAGUCAGCAGGAUCAGGACACGAGGAAGAGUAAAUGUGAGACAGUCAAUGUGACUUCUGCGAUAAACAGAUUUUUAAACCCCGAAAUUUUGCAAAAUUUUGGUGAAACCUGAACUUUCUUCGUUGCAUAUACUGGCACUAUCUGUACCAUCAUACAACUGUCUCACAUUAAAGCUAUUUUUCUUGGGCACUGAUGAGUAAGGUUGGUAUAAGUUCCUCAGAUCAACAAAAACCCAUUUUCCUGUAAGUCUUACAUUUAGUAUUUAAGGAACUAAAACUUAAAUACAUUUUGUGAAAUGGUUGACACUUCACUGAUAAUGAUUUAUUGCUUGGAUUAAUAAAUUUUCCAAAAGUUGUCUUAUGUAGAAUAUGGUUUGCAACCAGCAGAACCAUUAAUCUAUACUGCAAUGAUAUGCACUAUGUAUAAUUGUUUAAAAGCCUCUACUUAAUGAUGUAAAAUGCUCUAUUUAAUUACACAUUUGGGUAAACUGUAUACUAACAUCUGAUGGCAUUUUUCCACUGUUUGUUGCUUUUUUCAAAUACUUUAUUGUACAAAGCUGUUCUUAAUAUUUUUCAAGUUUUUUUCUUUGAAUUUUGCUAAUGUUUUCCUUGAAUUAUGAGCACUGACAGAAUGUGCUUAGCACUUUUGGCUAUUCACACAGCUUUUGAGCAUGAUUUGCAUCCAAUAUUUACAUUGCUAGCAAUAAUAAGCCAUCUGUGAGUUUUGUCAAAA
Molecule: unclassified non-coding RNA, 4862 nt
Filed under: Homo sapiens (human)
Lineage: Eukaryota; Metazoa; Chordata; Mammalia; Primates; Hominidae
Description: HLA complex group 18 (ENSG00000234893.6)
Source: RNAcentral